GAAAGGGAAGCGCUCGCUUAGGCAUCGACAGCUCCCGUUUCGCUGGUGGGUAGAAACGCGCGUGUAGAUCACCCGAAGCAGAUACGAAAAAAAAAGGAGCGCACAACGGCACAGGAAAUCGCACCCAAAGGCCAGCAACGAUGGACUUGGCGGACGCCGAUCUUCAGAACUACCAGCUGGCACGCCAGCUGCACAUGUUGCCGCAACUGUACGAUGUUUUUGUUUCGCAAGUGAUGUGCUACCCGAUGUUCUACCAGUCACUCCACCCUGCUGUGCGGCAGCUGGUGCGUGUGGUCUUGCUGUCGCUAAACCGCCGCUUCAACGCCAGCGCGGGCGCCACGGGAGAAGCGCCUGUUGCGCGGCGCUACCAGGUCGACAGCAUGCGCCUGGUUCUCGCUUUUCUUUCGUUCCCGGAGUACCACACCGAUCGAGUGAGCUGCGCAUCCCGCCUCAUUGCUGCCGCUCCGCUGAGCAAGCUGGAGCUGGGCACCCCAACGCAAGGGGCUGACGUCGCCCCUUCGGGGAGUCUUGAAGGUACACCAGCUUCCAUGACUCCGCAGCGCGCGGGCCCGGCCAUCGCCACUACGACACCGUCCGAGCUGCUGUUAACACCACGGGUGGUAGAGGACGCGCCAUCCGGAAGAGCAUCCGGCAGCGCUUCCCCGGCCAGCAAGCCUGCACAUCCACCGACGGCAGCCGCGGCGGCUGCCGUGACGGGCGUGAUGUCGAGGGCUCUUUUUUUUAUCCGCCCAACUGCGGCGACGGCGCACGCAGACCGCACGGCCCCGCACUUCGGUGAAACAGCGCACCUCUACGUACGCAUGGUGCACCCACAUCAGCUCAAUGAGGAGUCGCUGAACCCGUACUUUGGCCGCUACGGCCAGGUGGAUGUUACACCACUGCAGCGGAUACCUGUGCAGCAGUACGUGCAGUACCUUGGAGAGACUGCCACGGAGGCGUUGCUUCACCUCUUCCCGUCCACUGAGUCGGGCUACACGCUCUACGUGCAGGACUUCAUCAUCACCGUUGAUUCCCAUCAGAACGCGCUGUACGCGGUGCGCCAUGCGUACUGCAAGGAGCUUGUCUGCAUAGCCCUCCACGACGCGACCGCGGGCGGUGGCAGCAACACUCAUUGCUUGGCAGACGUCAACAACUGGAUGCGGCGGCACGCGUUUGUGUGGCGGCUUCACGCCGAUCCUCGCGCCGUCGCGAGUGAAGCGUCGGCCGCUGCAGCCGCUGCUGCGCACUCCUCCGCAGCGGCCGAGAAGCGUCGCAAGCGCGCGCGUGCGCGGCGUCGUCGGCACGAGCGGAAGAUGAAGCGCCGCUCCAUCCUCGGCAUCGCUGCCGACGACACGUCGUCCACGCCAUCAUCAGAGGAGGAAGUCACUGGGAAGGAUGCAGGCAGAAGCGCCAGCAGCAGCAGCAGCUCUGACUCGUCUUCUUCCCCCACAAGCGAUGGCGACAGCGCAGAGGACGACUUGGAGGGCUUCGUACCGGACGUUGUUCUCGACGGCUUCCCUUACUGGACGACGGAGGACCAGCUGAAGGUGUUGCUGCAGCAGUACGGCACCGUCGCGGAAAUGCGGCUCUCCGUGGACGACUUGUCUGGCGCUUUCACUGGCUGCGUACUGGUGCGCAUGGCAUCCGUGGAGGAGGCACUGACCCUCUCUCGGGCGGUGCACAAUACCCUCUACCGCGGCUAUUCUCUCAUCAGUGGCGUGGUGAACGAGCGGCUGGAGGUGGUGGCGCUCGAGGAUGGCGGGGAGGUGCGCAUGCAGUCUAUGCCAGAUCAGGUGCCGCCCGACGUCACGCUGAACGAGCGUAUCUGGGUCUGAUGGAGGGGCGGGGAGGGUGGCAGAGCCCGUAUGUGGCUGGAGGAAGAAUAAUUUGGAUGUAGUGCGUGCGGGCACUCGUGCGUUGUGAAGCGCACACCAAUAGCCGCAUUUGCGUGACAGGGAGCGUGCAACGCCCAGCAAGCGUGGGUCUCGAGGAUCUCCACUACCGGUAAAGGACUACCGCCAGGAAGCAGGAGGAGGAGACGGCGUUGG
This 2048-nucleotide unclassified non-coding RNA is filed under the name Leishmania donovani. Its description in RNAcentral is "gene:LdHU3.32.4640(CDS-product:RNA-binding_protei n_putative)". Lineage: Eukaryota; Euglenozoa; Kinetoplastea; Trypanosomatida; Trypanosomatidae. The record is from RNAcentral.